AUAUAAACUGCUCUCUGUUCUCUCUGCCUCCUCUACAUCACAGAACCUCAACUCCUGUCAAGCUGUUACCACGGCAACUGCUCUUUGCCUCCUCAGCAUCACAGACAAACAACACAGACCGUGUCCGUAGUCGCUGCGUCACCAAACUUUAGGAACUUCAGAUCCAUUUCUCUGGACCUCUUUCUGGGUUGACCAGGACUUU
Molecule: long non-coding RNA, 202 nt
Organism: Perca fluviatilis (European perch)
Lineage: Eukaryota; Metazoa; Chordata; Actinopteri; Perciformes; Percidae
Exons: 2
Source: RefSeq, a predicted model, not a curated record